CAAACGACUCUCGGCAACGGAUAUCUCGGCUCACGCAUCGAUGAAGAACGUAGCAAAAUGCGAUACUUGGUGUGAAUUGCAGAAUCCCGUGAACCAUCGAGUUUUUGAACGCAAGUUGCGCCCAAAGCCUUUCGGYCGAGGGCACGUCUGCCUGGGCGUCACAC
This 164-nucleotide ribosomal RNA is filed under the name Gynoxys calyculisolvens. The record is from RNAcentral. Lineage: Eukaryota; Viridiplantae; Streptophyta; Magnoliopsida; Asterales; Asteraceae.